RNAcentral lists this long non-coding RNA (228 nucleotides) under Lonchura striata (white-rumped munia). Its description in RNAcentral is "domestica (Bengalese finch) lncRNA (ENSLSDG00000013780.1)". Lineage: Eukaryota; Metazoa; Chordata; Aves; Passeriformes; Estrildidae. The record is from RNAcentral.
CAACACUUGUUCUCCUGGCUGACAGAGGGACCAGAAAAAAUGGUAGCCAGAGGCCUUGCUAAGUGCUCGUAAAUUUGGGUUUGAUUUCAGCAAAUUCCAAAUUGCACAGUUUCCGAAUGGGGAUCUGCUGAGGUGAUCAACAUAUAAUCUCCACAGCUAUGGCUGAGAAGUGCAGUUAAGGCUCUCACUCUGGGACUCUUCAACAACUCUGCCAGAGUAUGAGGAAGG